AGCAGUGUGGCUCAGUGGAUAGAGCACGGGCCUAAGAGUCCAAGGGACCCGGGUUCUAAUCCUAGCUCUACUA
Molecule: transfer RNA, 73 nt
Filed under: Ornithorhynchus anatinus (platypus)
Lineage: Eukaryota; Metazoa; Chordata; Mammalia; Monotremata; Ornithorhynchidae
Rfam family: tRNA
About the family: Transfer RNA (tRNA) molecules are approximately 80 nucleotides in length. Their secondary structure includes four short double-helical elements and three loops (D, anti-codon, and T loops). Further hydrogen bonds mediate the characteristic L-shaped molecular structure. tRNAs have two regions of fundamental functional importance: the anti-codon, which is responsible for specific mRNA codon recognition, and the 3' end, to which the tRNAs corresponding amino acid is attached (by aminoacyl-tRNA synthetases). tRNAs cope with the degeneracy of the genetic code in two manners: having more than one tRNA (with a specific anti-codon) for a particular amino acid; and 'wobble' base-pairing, i.e. permitting non-standard base-pairing at the 3rd anti-codon position.
Source: Rfam by way of RNAcentral